Molecule: ribosomal RNA, 376 nt
Filed under: uncultured bacterium
Lineage: Bacteria
Description: bacterial SSU rRNA
Rfam family: Bacterial small subunit ribosomal RNA
Source: RNAcentral
AUACGUAGGUGGCAAGCGUUGUCCGGAAUUAUUGGGCGUAAAGAGCAUGUAGGUGGGCUGUUAAGUCUGUUGUGAAAAUGCGGGGCUCAACCCCGUAUUGCGAUGGAAACUGACAGUCUUGAGUGCAGGAGAGGAAAGGGGAAUUCCCAGUGUAGCGGUGAAAUGCGUAGAUAUUGGGAGGAACACCAGUGGCGAAGGCGCCUUUCUGGACUGUGUCUGACACUGAGAUGCGAAAGCUAGGGGAGCGAACGGGAUUAGAUACCCCGGUAGUCCUAGCCGUAAACGAUGGGUACUAGGUGUAGGGGGUAUCGACCCCCCCUGUGCCGGAGUUAACGCAAUAAGUACCCCGCCUGGGGAGUACGGCCGCAAGGUUGAA